RNAcentral lists this ribosomal RNA (230 nucleotides) under uncultured bacterium. RNAcentral describes it as "partial 16S ribosomal RNA". It matches the Rfam family "Bacterial small subunit ribosomal RNA", at positions 118 to 347 of the family's 1533-position model. The record is from RNAcentral.
UGGGCAACCUGCCCCAGACUCAGGGAUAACCCCGGGAAACCGGGGCUAAUACCCGAUACUCCGAUCGAACCACAUGGCUCGAUCGGGAAAGCUCCGACGGUCUGGGAUGGGCCCGCGGCCUAUCAGCUAGUUGGUGUGGGUAAUGGCCCACCAAGGCGACGACGGGUAGCCGGCCUGAGAGGGUGACCGGCCACACUGGGACUGAGACACGGCCCAGACUCCUACGGGAG